GACGAACGCUGGCGGCGCGCUUAACACAUGCAAGUCGAACGGAAAGGCCCUGCUUUUGUGGGGUGCUCGAGUGGCGAACGGGUGAGUAACACGUGAGUAACCUGCCCUUGACUUUGGGAUAACUUCAGGAAACUGGGGCUAAUACCGGAUAGGAGCUCCUGCUGCAUGGUGGGGGUUGGAAAGUUUCGGCGGUUGGGGAUGGACUCGCGGCUUAUCAGCUUGUUGGUGGGGUAGUGGCUUACCAAGGCUUUGACGGGUAGCCGGCCUGAGAGGGUGACCGGCCACAUUGGGACUGAGAUACGGCCCAGACUCCUACGGGAGGCAGCAGUGGGGAAUAUUGCACAAUGGGCGGAAGCCUGAUGCAGCAACGCCGCGUGCGGGAUGACGGCCUUCGGGUUGUAAAGCGCUUUCGCCUGUGACGAAGCGUGAGUGACGGUAAUGGGUAAAGAAGCACCGGCUAACUACGUG
This 468-nucleotide ribosomal RNA is filed under the name uncultured bacterium. RNAcentral's name for it is "partial 16S ribosomal RNA". It matches the Rfam family "Bacterial small subunit ribosomal RNA", at positions 28 to 507 of the family's 1533-position model. The record is from RNAcentral.